ACCUCUGUCUUCUCGCGGUGGUCUUUAGCAGGCGUUGCGGGUCUUGUGCUGGUGGUUACCUAGGGCCGCAGAGCCGGCGUCCGAGUCAGCUGGUAGCAGUUUAAAAGAUUAAAGAGAGAAGAAGACGCGUAGUAUUGAAGACUUGGUUAACCCACUGGGACCAUGGCUUUGCAGUUCUCAGAAAAGCCUUGUCUAUCAAGCAGUUUUCCUGUGGGAAAAUAAGUGUUCAGCAGGACUAUAUUCAUG
Molecule: long non-coding RNA, 246 nt
Filed under: Sus scrofa (pig)
Lineage: Eukaryota; Metazoa; Chordata; Mammalia; Artiodactyla; Suidae
Description: lncRNA (ENSSSCG00025041620.1)
Source: RNAcentral